CUACCUUGCUAUGACUUUUGAGAUGUUACUCAGAUGGGUUAGUCGAAACUAAUUAAACCUAAAUAAAGCAGUUAAAUACCUAGUUAAAUUUUUAUUAAAAUUUAAAGAAUAACUACACCAACUAUUCAAAUAAAUGAAUAAUCAAAUCAAAUUUCUUUUCAGUUAUUAUUUUAACCUCUGAUUUUCUUACUUUUUAAGGUAAGAUUUUUUAAGGUUAAGCAGAUUUAUUUAGUAUAUUUAAAAUUAAAGUUAAAUAUAAAAAAUAGAAUACUCCUUACUACUAAGCCCUACCACCAUAAGUAAGGUAGGCAAAAAAGUAGUAAAUAAGUAAAUAAAUAGAAAGAGAAAUAUAGAUAAUAAACCAAUAUUUUAUUAUUUAUAAUGUUUUACUUUAUUUAAAGAUAGACUUCGCGGCGCUUUCCCCCAAGCUGAAUUUCUCCCCAGCGACAGACGGUU
This 456-nucleotide ribosomal RNA is filed under the name Hebeloma plesiocistum. RNAcentral's name for it is "partial small subunit ribosomal RNA". Lineage: Eukaryota; Fungi; Basidiomycota; Agaricomycetes; Agaricales; Hymenogastraceae. The record is from RNAcentral.